Molecule: ribosomal RNA, 502 nt
Filed under: uncultured bacterium
Lineage: Bacteria
Description: partial 16S ribosomal RNA
Rfam family: Bacterial small subunit ribosomal RNA
Source: RNAcentral
GACGAACGCUGGCGGCGUGCUUAACACAUGCAAGUCGAACGGUGAAGGGGUCUGCUUUUGUGGGCCCUGGAUGAGUGGCGAACGGGUGAGUAACACGUGAGUAACCUGCCCCCUUCUUCUGGAUAACCGCAUGAAAGUGUGGCUAAUACGGGAUAUUCUGGGUCUGUCGCAUGAUGGGUCUGGGAAAGAUUGCGCCUUUGGGUGUUUUUGGUGGGGGAUGGGCUCGCGGCCUAUCAGCUUGUUGGUGGGGUGAUGGCCUACCAAGGCGGUGACGGGUAGCCGGCCUGAGAGGGUGGACGGUCACACUGGGACUGAGACACGGCGCAGACUCCUACGGGAGGCAGCAGUGGGGGAUAUUGCACAAUGGGCGCAAGCCUGAUGCAGCGACGCCGCGUGAGGGAUGGAGGCCUUCGGGUUGUAAACCUCUUUCGCCAGUGAAGCAGGCCUGCUCCUUGUGGGUGGGUUGACGGUAGCUGGAUAAGAAGCGCCGGCUAACUACGUG